Molecule: ribosomal RNA, 499 nt
Filed under: uncultured bacterium
Lineage: Bacteria
Description: partial 16S ribosomal RNA
Rfam family: Bacterial small subunit ribosomal RNA
Source: RNAcentral
GAUGAACGCUGGCGGCGUGCCUAAUACAUGCAAGUCGAGCGAACAGACGAGAGUGCUUGCACUCUCUGACGUUAGCGGCGGACGGGUGAGUAACACGUGGGUAACCUACCUAUAAGACUGGGAUAACUUCGGGAAACCGGAGCUAAUACCGGAUAAUAUUUAGCUUCGCAUGAAGCAAUAGUGAAAGACGGUUCUGCUGUCACUUAUAGAUGGACCCGCGGUGUAUUAGCUAGUUGGUGAGGUAACGGCUCACCAAGGCAACGAUACAUAGCCGACCUGAGAGGGUGAUCGGCCACACUGGGACUGAGACACGGCCCAGACUCCUACGGGAGGCAGCAGUAGGGAAUCUUCCGCAAUGGACGAAAGUCUGACGGAGCAAUGCCGCGUGAGUGAAGAAGGUUUUCGGAUCGUAAAACUCUGUUGUAAGGGAAGAACAAGUACAUUAGUAACUGAACGUACCUUGACGGUACCUUACCAGAAAGCCACGGCUAACUACGUG